RNAcentral lists this long non-coding RNA (430 nucleotides) under Cyanistes caeruleus (blue tit). RNAcentral describes it as "lncRNA (ENSCCEG00000006497.1)". Lineage: Eukaryota; Metazoa; Chordata; Aves; Passeriformes; Paridae. The record is from RNAcentral.
CCGAGGCUGUUCCCACUCUGGUGAUUCAGUGUCAGGCUGGGAGCGAGGGAACCAGAGCCUGUUACCCGGAUCCCUCGACUUUUCCCAUCUCCACAUGGCUCUGCAGCAAAUCAAAGUGCAACAAAACAGCUUUGCAUCAUUUCUUCGAGGAGUCCUGGGCCCUGUAUGUUAUCUCCAGGGCAGGGAUUUUACCGUUCUGAAGGUUAAAAAGAGGGAAGCAGCUGUUCCCAUGCCUCAGGAGCACAAACACUUGAGAGGAAUCAGUGGGACAGCAGCGAGGGAGCGCUUGGGCUGCUGCCAAAGCUCCGGCAGCGAGCCCGGCUCGGAGCCUGUGAUCUGGGGAACCUCUGGAGCCUUUCGCAAGGCCAGUGUCACAGACAGCCUUCUCGCUUGCUGGGCUGUAAGACUUCGAGCCUCGGACAACAGCUAA